AUUUCAAGUUUGCAUUCUACAAACAAACACGUGCAGAUUUCGCGGAUGAAAAAUGAAACGCCAGCAGGCCCAGCACCAACAACAGUCGUUGAUGAACCGGAUGAAAACAGAUAUGACAAGUAAUAGAGAGACUGGAGGAGAUGGAGGAGGAGAGGCAGGAAGAGAGACAGAAGGAAAUGGAAGAGAGACGGGAGGAGAUAGAGGAGAGACAGGAGCCUCACAGGUGCUGAGACAGAGUCGUCCGGAUCCAGAUAUGAUGGAGAUACAGCCAUAACAUUUCAGCGACAGCGUGGGAGACUAAGCAGAACAAAACGACAUGUCUGCCUCAGAGUGGGACUGCUCAUUUCAGUUUGUUACUGAGAUGAUGCAGGCAUUCAGCAGGUGGCAGGCAGAGGAAGAGGCUAAAAUCAAUUUGGCUGGAGGUACACCCUCAGUGGCUGGCUCCUACAGGGAGACACUGAGGGAUAAUGUGAUGAGGUUUUUUGACACUCAGCGGUGCUGUACAGAGCAGCAGGGGGAGACAUUUGUCCUCUCUGAAGAACAGGCCAUAGCCCUCACAGAGAUUGUGGAAAGGGCUUAUCAUGAUACUGAAGCCCUGAUGCAGUCAGUCCAAAGGUGGGAGGCUGAGGAAUGCUCUCAGUCGGAGGUUGAAGGUGAGUGCUCAGCAGUUUGUCCCACCCAACAAAAGAUGGAGGCAGAGCUGAGAGACGUUUUUGACCUCCGGCGAGAGUUUGCUGAGGAUAGAGGAGAAACACAUGCUAUACCUGCACCUGUGUUAUGUGUUAUCACUGUAUUUCUAUUUAUUUAUUUAUUUAUUGCUGCUAUUUAUUUAUUCAUCAUCAAUUGUUAUCAUUGUAUUUCUAUUUAUUUAUUGCUGCUAUUUAUUUAUUCAUCAUCAAUCGUUAUCAUUGUAUUUGUAUUUAUUUAUUGCUGCUAUGUAUUUAUUUAUUGCUGCUAUUUAUUU
Molecule: long non-coding RNA, 964 nt
Organism: Epinephelus moara (kelp grouper)
Lineage: Eukaryota; Metazoa; Chordata; Actinopteri; Perciformes; Serranidae
Exons: 3
Source: RefSeq, a predicted model, not a curated record